UCUGAUAGAAUGGUUCUUCUUCUUGUCUCUCCAUGUCUCCUUCCUUCACCCCUGAUUCUCCACAAUCACCUCAAGGUUUUAUGAUCAGAGAACUCUGGAAAUGAUGUUGAGACAUGAAUUUGAUUCUGCUAGAAGGAGCUUCCUCAAGAUUCCAGAAGCACUCAAUAUUCUGCCUAAAAUGAAUCCUGAAGGUAUAUAUGUGAAUAAGAAUCUUAGAUUGGACGAUAUACAAGUGCAUGGUUUUGAUUAUGAGUAUACAUUGCAAAAGACCACAUUGUAAAUGAGUUUAUCAGUUUAAGUAUCCAGAGAUUUGUUCAACUGGGAUCCGUCUUUUCCAAUUAGAGGACUGUAUUAGGAUAAGCUAAAGGGGUGUCUCUUGAAGUUGUAUUUCUUUGGGUCUAUUGAGCUUGACAGAUGCUUCUUUGGUUGUCGAAAGCCUAGAGGAAAUAGAGAGAUGUAUGGGACACGGCAUACUGGGCGAGGUCAAGCUCGUGGACUUGUUGGAUUGAGGAACUAAAUGAGGAGAGGCAGUUGGCACGGUCUAAGAUGAAGAGAAUGUUUAAUAGCUCUUUUGGUGCUACCUUCCUCGCUGAUACUAGUCAGGAAUCUGCUUUUGCCUACAACAUUCAUCAAUAUGCCGAUGUCUAUACCAGUAAACUGGAGAACUUUAUGUUGUAUCCGCCAGAAACAUGGCGUCAUGAUCCUUUCGACGUGAAGGUAAAUCUUUUGACCAGUUCAAUGUAUGUUUUGAAUUAGUGGUAACUUGGUGAAGCAAGAUUGUAUUCUAGGUUAACGAAUUGCUGAAUUUACACUCUUAGUAGGUCAGAUGUGUUUUGAAAUAUGUUAUUUAUCUCAAUGCUAGAACUUUAUGA
Long non-coding RNA from Papaver somniferum (opium poppy), 872 nucleotides. RefSeq lists it as uncharacterized. The record is from RefSeq and is a predicted model, not a curated record. The transcript is spliced from 6 exons. NCBI's taxonomy places the organism in Eukaryota, Viridiplantae, Streptophyta, Magnoliopsida, Ranunculales, Papaveraceae.